This 1397-nucleotide ribosomal RNA is filed under the name uncultured bacterium. RNAcentral's name for it is "bacterial SSU rRNA". It matches the Rfam family "Bacterial small subunit ribosomal RNA". The record is from RNAcentral.
ACGUACGCUGGCGGCACGCCUAACACAUGCAAGUCGAACGAAGUAGCAAUACUUAGUGGCAGACGGGUGAGUAACAUGUAGGUAUCUACCCUUUGGCCUGGAAUAACACGAGGAAACUUGUGCUAAUACCGGAUAAGUCUUUACGGAGAAAGCUUUAUGCACCAUUGGAUGAGCCUGCACUUGAUUAGUUUGUUGGUGGGGUAAUGGCCUACCAAGACUGUGAUCAAUAGCUGAUUUGAGAGGAUGAUCAGCCACAUUGGGACUGAGACACGGCCCAAACUCCUACGGGAGGCAGCAGUGGGGAAUCUUGCACAAUGGAGGAAACUCUGAUGCAGCGAUGCCGCGUGAGUGAAGAAGGCCUUUGGGUUGUAAAGCUCUUUCGUCGGGGAAGAAAAUGACUGUACCCGAAUAAGAAGGUCCGGCUAACUUCGUGCCAGCAGCCGCGGUAAUACGAAGGGACCUAGCGUAGUUCGGAAUUACUGGGCUUAAAGAGUUCGUAGGUGGUUGAAAAAGUUAGUGGUGAAAUCCCAGAGCUUAACUCUGGAACUGCCAUUAAAACUUUUCAGCUAGAGUAUGAUAGAGGAAAGCAGAAUUUCUAGUGUAGAGGUGAAAUUCGUAGAUAUUAGAAAGAAUACCAAUUGCGAAGGCAGCUUUCUGGAUCAUUACUGACACUGAGGAACGAAAGCAUGGGUAGCGAAGAGGAUUAGAUACCCUCGUAGUCCAUGCCGUAAACGAUGUGUGUUAGACGUUGGAAAUUUAUUUUCAGUGUCGCAGCGAAAGCGAUAAACACACCGCCUGGGGAGUACGACCGCAAGGUUAAAACUCAAAUGAAUUGACGGGGACCCGCACAAGUAGUGGAGCAUGUGGUUUAAUUCGAAGAUACGCGCAGAACCUUACCAACACUUGACAUGUUCGUCGCGACUCUAAGAGAUUAGAGUUUUCGGUUCGGCCGGACGAAACACAGGUGCUGCAUGGCUGUCGUCAGCUCGUGUCGUGAGAUGUUGGGUUAAGUCCCGCAACGAGCGCAACCCUCACUUUUAGUUGCCAUCAUUUAGUUGGGCACUCUGAAAGAACUGCCAGUGAUAAGCUGGAGGAAGGUGGGGAUGACGUCAAGUCCUCAUGGCCCUUACGUGUUGGGCUACACACGUGCUACAAUGGUACCUACAACAGGAAGCAAGACUGCGAGGUCAAGCAAAUCCUUAAAAGAUACCUCAGUUCGGAUUGCACUCUGCAACUCGAGUGCAUGAAGCUGGAAUUACUAGUAAUCGUGGAUCAGCGUGCCACGGUGAAUGCGUUCCCGGGUCUUGUACACACCGCCCGUCACACCAUGGGAGUUGGUUCUACCUUAAGGCAAGGUUUAAAACCCUUGACCACGGUAUAGUCAGCGACUGGGGUGA